GACGAACGCUGGCGGCGUGCCUAAUACAUGCAAGUAGGACGCAGUUGCGAACGAGUGAGUAACGCGUAGGUAACUGACUAUUAGAGGGGGGUAACUAUUGGCAACGAUAGCUAAUACCGCAUACUAGUAGAUGGACCUGCGGUGUAGUAGCUAGUAGGUAGGGUAAUGGCCUACCUAGGCAAAGAUACAUAGCCGAUCUGGGAGGGUGGUCGGCCAAACUGGGACGGAGACACGGCACAGACUCCUACGGGAUGCAGCAGUAGGGAAUCUUCGGCAAUGGGGGGAACCCUGACCGAGCAACGCCGCGGGAGUGAAGAAGGUUUUCGGAUCGUAAAGCUCUGUUGUUAAGGGAGCGGUACUUAACCAGAAAGGGACGGCUAACUACGUGCCAGCAGCCGCGGUAAUUC
Molecule: ribosomal RNA, 407 nt
Filed under: uncultured bacterium
Lineage: Bacteria
Description: partial 16S ribosomal RNA
Rfam family: Bacterial small subunit ribosomal RNA
Source: RNAcentral